Molecule: unclassified non-coding RNA, 229 nt
Filed under: plant metagenome
Description: partial contains small subunit ribosomal RNA, internal transcribed spacer 1, and 5.8S ribosomal RNA
Source: RNAcentral
UCUCCGUAGGUGAACCUGCGGAGGGAUCAUUACAGAGUUCUCGCCCUCGCGGGUAGAUCUCCCACCCACUGCUAUCGUUACUGUGUUGCUUUGGCGGGCCGCCGGGCCCCGCUCGGCCGCCGGCUCCGGCUGGCGCACGCCCGCCAGAGGCCCAGCAAACUCUGAAUGUUAGUGUCGUCUGAGUACUAUAUAAUAGUUAAAACUUUCAACAACGGAUCUCUUGGUUCUG